Long non-coding RNA from Culex quinquefasciatus (southern house mosquito), 590 nucleotides. RefSeq lists it as uncharacterized. The transcript is spliced from 4 exons. Lineage: Eukaryota; Metazoa; Arthropoda; Insecta; Diptera; Culicidae. The record is from RefSeq and is a predicted model, not a curated record.
CAUUGAACGAACCUGAAAGUCGGAUCGGAGCCGGAAUUCCGGAUUGAAAUUUAGGAGACUAACACGCUGCAUUUCAACAAAGAUUUGGCCGCCCGCACGUCGGAAUCGUUCGCCAUCUGCGUUGGACUCAACCCAAUCGUAGUCCGCUGAAUCAUCCAUUGCUUUCAUAUCGAUUUUAUCACCAUCUAUGAGAGACCUCCUGCGCGAUCUGCCCUGACCCGGUGCGUACGUCGAAAUCGUCCAUCUGCGAGAGACCUCCUGCGCGAUCUGCCCUGACCCGGUGCGUACGUCGAAAUCGUCCAUCAUCUGCGAGAGACCCCAAUCGCUGUCCCAUUCCGGCGGUCCACGAUCUGCGAAAGUUCCGUCAACUCCGUGCGCGAUCUGCCCUGACCCGGUGCCCACGUCGAAAUCGUCCAUCAUCUGCGAGAGACCCCGAUCGCUGUCCCAUUCCGGCGGUCCACGAUCUGCGAAAGUUCCGUCAACUCCGUGCGCGAUCUGCCCUGACCCGGUGCCCACGUCGAAAUCGUCCAUCAUCUGCGAGAGACCCCGAUCGCUGUCCCAUUCCGGUAUGCCCGGGCAGAAAGUUGCAU